Molecule: ribosomal RNA, 484 nt
Filed under: uncultured bacterium
Lineage: Bacteria
Description: partial 16S ribosomal RNA
Rfam family: Bacterial small subunit ribosomal RNA
Source: RNAcentral
AUUGAACGCUAGCGGCAGGCCUAACACAUGCAAGUCGAGCGGAUGAAGGGAGCUUGCUCCUGGAUUCAGCGGCGGACGGGUGAGUAAUGCCUAGGAAUCUGCCUGGUAGUGGGGGAUAACGUCCGGAAACGGGCGCUAAUACCGCAUACGUCCUGAGGGAGAAAGUGGGGGAUCUUCGGACCUCACGCUAUCAGAUGAGCCUAGGUCGGAUUAGCUAGUUGGUGGGGUAAAGGCCUACCAAGGCGACGAUCCGUAACUGGUCUGAGAGGAUGAUCAGUCACACUGGAACUGAGACACGGUCCAGACUCCUACGGGAGGCAGCAGUGGGGAAUAUUGGACAAUGGGCGAAAGCCUGAUCCAGCCAUGCCGCGUGUGGUAAGAAGGGCUGCGGAUUGUAAAGCACUUUAAGUUGGGAGGAAGGGCAGUAAGUUAAUACCGUGCUGUUUUGACGUUACCAACAGAAUAAGCACCGGCUAACUUCGUG